UACGGAGGGUGCAAGCGUUGCUCGGAAUCACUGGGCGUAAAGCGACCGCAGGCGGCCUAACAAGUCGGAUGUGAAAGCCCUGGGCUCAACUCAGGAACUGCAUUCGAAACUGGUAGGCUCGAGUACGGGAGAGGGGGGUGGAAUUCCUGGUGUAGGGGUGAAAUUCGUUGAUAUCAGGAGGAACACCGGCGGCGAAGGCGGCCCCCUGGCCCGCAACUGACGCUCAUGGUCGAAAGCGUGGGGAGCAAACAGG
This 253-nucleotide ribosomal RNA is filed under the name uncultured bacterium. RNAcentral's name for it is "partial 16S ribosomal RNA". It matches the Rfam family "Bacterial small subunit ribosomal RNA", at positions 524 to 776 of the family's 1533-position model. The record is from RNAcentral.